CAACUCUGGUUUCUCUUCAUUACGCACAAGCCUUUCGCCUUUUACUAAAGACUUCCGUGGAGAGGAACACUUACGAGUUCAACAUAUUUUUGGAAGGGCUUUGCUUCUGGCAGAGCC
RNAcentral lists this small nuclear RNA (117 nucleotides) under Salmo trutta (river trout). RNAcentral's name for it is "U5 spliceosomal RNA (ENSSTUG00000003964.1)". It matches the Rfam family "U5 spliceosomal RNA". From Rfam's summary of the family: U5 RNA is a component of both types of known spliceosome. The precise function of this molecule is unknown, though it is known that the 5' loop is required for splice site selection and p220 binding, and that both the 3' stem-loop and the Sm site are important for Sm protein binding and cap methylation. The record is from Rfam by way of RNAcentral. Lineage: Eukaryota; Metazoa; Chordata; Actinopteri; Salmoniformes; Salmonidae.